Cimex lectularius (bed bug) is the source of this 523-nucleotide long non-coding RNA. RefSeq lists it as uncharacterized. NCBI's taxonomy places the organism in Eukaryota, Metazoa, Arthropoda, Insecta, Hemiptera, Cimicidae. The transcript has 3 exons. The record is from RefSeq and is a predicted model, not a curated record.
AAGGGUUGAUUAUCCGGAGUGCUUUUUGGUUUAGUGACGUGUUCGACGUUCUUGGUUACAUUCAAGUGCCUUGUUGCAGCCGUUUUGCGAUUUACAUUCUUUCCAGAUUCACGUCGUGACUUCGGCUGAAUAUCUUUGCUCUCGAGUCUUAUUAUCUACCCUGGAAGCCUCUGGGACGUACGAGGACGGCCAGAAAAGCCCCCCACACGCAUUAUUUCACGUCCGUAAUAAUAGAUGUUGUGUUUGGCGUUCUGCGUGUUUAGCUGCACCACGGUGAAAUAUUGGACGUCCAAUUAAAAUUCUAACUCGUCCAAUCCCCAGGCUUACAAACAGGCUAUGAUUCGUCGUUGGAAAAGGCGUUACCUAUCAAUCAAUUAUUUCUAUUUCUGAGUAAUAAUUGUUUUCUCUCUUAAAUUGUGUUUUUACAAAAAGAGAAUUCUCAUAAAACAUAUAAUCAUGGAUGGAAAUAAAAAUAGAUAUAAUAUCUACAUAUAAUUCACAAUACUAUUUACUUCCACUGAUA